GAGUUUGAUCCUGGCUCAGAACGAACGCKGACGGCGUGCUUAACACAUGCAAGUCGAACGUGAUCCGGAGCUUGCUCCGGUGAAAGUGGCGCACGGGUGAGUAACGCGUAGAUAAUCUGCCUGAUGAUCUGGGAUAACACUUCGAAAGGGGUGCUAAUACCGGAUAARCCCACGGAGUCUUUGGWCUUUGCGGGAAAAGGGGGGGACCUUCGGGCCUUCUGUCAUCAGAUGAGUCUGCGUACCAUUAGCUAKUUGGUGGGGUAAUGGCCUACCAAGGCUMCGAUGGUUAGCUGGUCUGAGAGGAUGAUCAGCCMCACUGGAACUGAGACACGGUCCAGACUCCUACGGGAGGCAGCAGUGGGGAAUUUUGCGCAAUGGGGGAAACCCUGACGCAGCAACGCCGCGUGAGUGAUGAAGGCUUUCGGGUCGUAAAGCUCUGUCAAGUGGGAAGAAGUUGUGUAKSGMUAAUAUCUGUGCMCAUUGACGGUACCAYUGAAGGAAGCACCGGCUAACUCCGUGCCAGCMGCSGCGGUAAUAC
RNAcentral lists this ribosomal RNA (538 nucleotides) under uncultured Geobacteraceae bacterium. RNAcentral describes it as "partial 16S ribosomal RNA". It matches the Rfam family "Bacterial small subunit ribosomal RNA", at positions 9 to 526 of the family's 1533-position model. Lineage: Bacteria; Pseudomonadati; Thermodesulfobacteriota; Desulfuromonadia; Geobacterales; Geobacteraceae. The record is from RNAcentral.